Merluccius polli (Benguela hake) is the source of this 75-nucleotide non-coding RNA. NCBI's taxonomy places the organism in Eukaryota, Metazoa, Chordata, Actinopteri, Gadiformes, Merlucciidae. The record is from the annotation of a GenBank genome assembly.
GCAGAAUAGUCUAGCGGUUAGAAGGCGCUUGGCUCCCAAGCAGUUCGGUUCUGGGUUCAAAUCCCAAUGUCCGCA